AAACUCAAAAUGGGAGACAUUGGACAAGAUAACUGGCCAAACUCUUCCGAAGUGUCAAAGUCAUGAUGUCAAAGAGAGAGGGGAGACCUGAUUCCUGCUCCAGGACACCUCAGAGACAGGACAACUAAAUGAAAACCCAGCUACAGCAGAUCAGCAAGAGAAUCAGGCUGUCUGGUUUGGAAAAUAAAUUUUGACACUGCUCUGUCCUCCCUGUCCUGGUAAGUCCUGGAUGUUCAGCAGCAAGUUAGCCUGGGGUCCUGAGGGUCAUGUGAAUAUGGCUAUAUGUCAUGCAUGCGACUGUAAGUCCUCCUUCCAGCCACCGUGGUCACCUGCAAAGUCCCUUCCCUCACAUUUCCCUGAGGCUUCUUGCUUCCCUUUUGUUAUAUUUUUGCCCUUCAGGUCUAUCUUUAGUUUUACCUUUUAUGACAUUUUAUCAGCAUAAAAACAGAGUUAUCAAUGGAAAAUAAACAUCUGAAAAAGGUCUAACUUCACUAAUUAAAGUAAUAUAAUUCAAAUAAUGAGAGAUAAUUUUUCUCUAAUUUAGAGAAAUUUGUCAAAGAUUAGAGGAUAUGAUAACCAGUGUUGCUAAGGCUGUGAUGAAAGGGCUGCAUUCAUACCCAGUUGCUGAGAGUAUGGAUUGAAACCAUCUUCCUAAAGGCCAGUUUUAAGAACCUAAAAAAUAGACAGAAAUUCCACUUUUAGGAAUGUGUUCUAAGGAAAUCAUCGGAAAUAUCUGCAGAUUUAUGUUUUAGAGUAUUUACAGAAUAUUAUUUGUCCCCCCAAAUGGGGAUUGGUUAAAUAAGUUAUAGCACAUCCAUUUGAAUAAAAAACAAACACAUAUCCAUUAAAAAUCCUGUUUUGAAAAAUCUUUAGUGUCAUAGGAAAAUGUUUGUGAUAUACUAUUAUCUGAAAAAAA
RNAcentral lists this long non-coding RNA (916 nucleotides) under Homo sapiens (human). Its description in RNAcentral is "long intergenic non-protein coding RNA 1792". The record is from RNAcentral. Lineage: Eukaryota; Metazoa; Chordata; Mammalia; Primates; Hominidae.